Molecule: long non-coding RNA, 211 nt
Filed under: Elaeis guineensis (African oil palm)
Lineage: Eukaryota; Viridiplantae; Streptophyta; Magnoliopsida; Arecales; Arecaceae
Description: long non-coding RNA (EGUI_LNC066912)
Source: RNAcentral
CCAUGCACCAUAAUCUCAAGAGACAUCUCAUAUCAUGAGGAUUUAAGAAAUGCAUGGAGAAUAUGGAAGGAAUUAAGAGUUUCAAGAGAAUUGGACUCUUCCACUUCUCAUCACAUAAAUGUGUGGCAUCCCAAUUUAUUUUAGCAUGGAGAAGGACUCCUCCUCCUCUUCCAUGUCCACAUGUCUCAAAGCCCCAUCUGAUGGUGCACAA